GACGAACGCUGGCGGCGUGCUUAACACAUGCCAGUCGAACGAAGAGCGAUGGAAGCUUGCUUCUAUCAAUCUUAGUGGCGCACGGGUGAGUAACGCGUAAUCAACCUGCCCUUCAGAGGGGGACAACAGUUGGAAACGACUGCUAAUACCGCAUACGAUCUAAUCUCGGCAUCGAGGAUAGAUGAAAGGUGGCCUCUACAUGUAAGCUAUCACUGAAGGAGGGGAUUGCGUCUGAUUAGCUAGUUGGAGGGGUAACGGCCCACCAAGGCGAUGAUCAGGAGCCGGUCUGAGAGGAUGAACGGCCACAUUGGGACUGAGACACGGCCCAGACUCCUACGGGAGGCAGCAGUGGGGAAUCUUCCGCAAUGGACGAAAGUCUGACGGAGCAACGCCGCGUGAGUGAUGACGGCCUUCGGGUUGUAAAGCUCUGUUAAUCGGGACGAAAGGCCUUCUUGCGAACAGUUAGAAGGAUUGACGGUACCGGAAUAGAAAGCCACGGCUAACUACGUG
RNAcentral lists this ribosomal RNA (510 nucleotides) under uncultured bacterium. RNAcentral's name for it is "partial 16S ribosomal RNA". It matches the Rfam family "Bacterial small subunit ribosomal RNA", at positions 28 to 507 of the family's 1533-position model. The record is from RNAcentral.